CAAUGGCCGCGACCCCGCCGCCCUCGCCUGCGCCAUCUCCGCCGAGGCCAGCGUCGUGCUCGCCUUCAUGCGCUGCAGCCUCAGCCUCUGCCGCCGAGCACCCGCUCAUCUCCUCCCUCAAGACACUGCGCCGCCGAGAUUUGUGGCGAGCUGCCGGCGGCCGGCGAAGGGCCCGUCCAUGCCCGUGAGGUGGAGAAGGGCGGCAUCCGUGAGCAGAAGAAGUAAGGCGGCAUCCAGAUUCGGCAGUAGAAGAACCAAAAGAAAAUGCAGCAGCGCCGGUGGCCGUUGAGGCCGCCGUCUCCGCCCUGCCAUCUUCGACCCGGCGCUCGCCAAGGUGACCGAGCUACACGAUAUGAGGCCGAGUGACAGCGUCUGCACCGUGCGCUGGACGCGCAAGGGCUCCUAUCUCGCCAUUGCCACCAGCCUUGAGAUGUCCAGCUGCAAAGAGGUGCUAUAAUUUGAGAUGAUGUGCAAAAAGGUUAUGCCCUUUAACAACAAAGGACAGCU
Lolium rigidum is the source of this 507-nucleotide long non-coding RNA. RefSeq lists it as uncharacterized. Lineage: Eukaryota; Viridiplantae; Streptophyta; Magnoliopsida; Poales; Poaceae. The transcript has 4 exons. The record is from RefSeq and is a predicted model, not a curated record.